GGUUAAGCGACUAAGCGUACACGGUGGAUGCCCUGGCAGUCAGAGGCGAUGAAGGGCGUGCUAAUCUGCGAUAAGCGCCGGUAAGGUGAUAUGAACCGUUAUAACCGGCGAUACCCGAAUGGGGAAACCCAGUGUGAUUCGUCACACUAUCAUUAACUGAAUCCAUAGGUUAAUGAGGCGAACCGGGGGAACUGAAACAUCUAAGUACCCCGAGGAAAAGAAAUCAACCGAGAUUCCCCCAGUAGCGGCGAGCGAACGGGGAGGAGCCCAGAGCCUGAAUCAGCAUGUGUGUUAGUGGAAGCGUCUGGAAAGGCGCGCGAUACAGGGUGACAGCCCCGUACACAAAAGCGCAUGUGCUGUGAGCUCGAUGAGUAGGGCGGGACACGUGGUAUCCUGUCUGAAUAUGGGGGGACCAUCCUCCAAGGCUAAAUACUCCUGACUGACCGAUAGUGAACCAGUACCGUGAGGGAAAGGCGAAAAGAACCCCGGCGAGGGGAGUGAAAAAGAACCUGAAACCGUGUACGUACAAGCAGUGGGAGCACAGGUUUACCUGUGUGACUGCGUACCUUUUGUAUAAUGGGUCAGCGACUUAUAUUCUGUAGCAAGGUUAACCGUAUAGGGGAGCCGCAGGGAAACCGAGUCUUAAUUGGGCGUUAAGUUGCAGGGUAUAGACCCGAAACCCGGUGAUCUAGCCAUGGGCAGGUUGAAGGUUGGGUAACACUAACUGGAGGACCGAACCGACUAAUGUUGAAAAAUUAGCGGAUGACCUGUGGCUGGGGGUGAAAGGCCAAUCAAACCGGGAGAUAGCUGGUUCUCCCCGAAAGCUAUUUAGGUAGCGCCUCGUGAAUUCAUCUCCGGGGGUAGAGCACUGUUUCGGCUAGGGGGCCAUCCCGGCUUACCAACCCGAUGCAAACUGCGAAUACCGGAGAAUGUUAUCACGGGAGACACACGGCGGGUGCUAACGUCCGUCGUGAAGAGGGAAACAACCCAGACCGCCAGCUAAGGUCCCAAAGUCAUGGUUAAGUGGGAAACGAUGUGGGAAGGCCCAGACAGCCAGGAUGUUGGCUUAGAAGCAGCCAUCAUUUAAAGAAAGCGUAAUAGCUCACUGGUCGAGUCGGCCUGCGCGGAAGAUGUAACGGGGCUAAACCAUGCACCGAAGCUGCGGCAGCGAACGUAUCACUUAAAGCGAUUCAGCGGGUUACGAUUGACGGAGCGAAGCGACGUCAAAGCGUAUACAAAGUCGAGUCGGUUUAAGGAUACGUUCGUUGGGUAGGGGAGCGUUCUGUAAGCCUGUGAAGGUGGCCUGUGAGGGUUGCUGGAGGUAUCAGAAGUGCGAAUGCUGACAUAAGUAACGAUAAAGCGGGUGAAAAGCCCGCUCGCCGGAAGACCAAGGGUUCCUGUCCAACGUUAAUCGGGGCAGGGUGAGUCGACCCCUAAGGCGAGGCCGAAAGGCGUAGUCGAUGGGAAACGGGUUAAUAUUCCCGUACUUGGUGUUACUGCGAAGGGGGGACGGAGAAGGCUAUGUUGGCCGGGCGACGGUU
RNAcentral lists this ribosomal RNA (1541 nucleotides) under Salmonella enterica subsp. enterica serovar Amsterdam. Its description in RNAcentral is "partial 23S ribosomal RNA". It matches the Rfam family "Bacterial large subunit ribosomal RNA", at positions 1 to 1503 of the family's 2925-position model. Lineage: Bacteria; Pseudomonadati; Pseudomonadota; Gammaproteobacteria; Enterobacterales; Enterobacteriaceae. The record is from RNAcentral.